UUUCCGUAGGUGAACCUGCGGAAGGAUCAUUAAAAAAUAGGACUUCCAAUGGGAGUUCAUUAAUAAUCCUACCCUUUGUGAAUUUGUUUGUUUGAAAUAAUUUUUUUUCCAAAAAAAUUAUUGAAUGUCUUUCCCUGUUUUUGGUUGAAGCGUAAAAGUGGAGACCAAGCAGGGGAAUGGCAAACAUUAAUUUUUUUGAAAAAAGACCUUUUUUUAAAAUUAAACUUUUUGUAUUCAUUUGUCUAAAAUUAUUUUUGUAAUAUAAAAACAACUUUUGACAAUGGAUCUCUUGGUUCUCGCAACGAUGAAGAACGCAGCAAAAUGCGAUAAGUAAUGUGAAUUGCAGAAUACGUGAAUCAUCGAAUCUUCGAACGCAUAUUGCACUUUUUUAGUUUACUAAAAGAGUAUGUCUGUUUGAGUAUCAGUAAGAUAUUCUCAUAAAAAACUUUUUUGUUUUUUAUGGUUAUGAGUGUUUUACAACGAUAAACAAGUUGUUUCACUUUAAAUUCUUUGAAAUUUAAAAAAUCGUUAAAACUAAUUUUAAAAUGAUUUUUUAAAAUUGGAUAAAAUUUUCCCGUAAAAAAGGAAUAACCUAAACAAUUUUAAAAAAUUUAAAAUUGGUUGAUUUUUUUAAAUCCCAAAAGGAAAAAAGUAAAAAUUAACUUGAUCUCAAAUCAGAUAAGAGUACCCGCUGAACUUAGCAUAUCAAUAAGCGGAGGAAAAGAAACUAACUAGGAUUCCCUCAGUAACGGCGAGUGAAGCGGGAAGAGCUCAAAUUUGAAAUCCUCAAGGUUCUACCUUGACGAAUUGUAGUUUAAAGAAGUGUUUUCUGUUGGAAUAGUUUGGUAUAAGUUCUUUGGAAUAGGACAUCAUGGAGGGUGAGAAUCCCGUAACGACCAUUUAUUCCAGCUCUGUGAUACACUUUCAAAGAGUCGGAUUGUUUGGGAAUGCAGUCCAAAAUGGGUGGUAAAUUUCAUCUAAAGCUAAUAUUGGCGAGAGACCGAUAGCGAACAAGUACCGUGAGGGAAAGAUGAAAAGAACUUUGAAAGAGAGUUAAACGGUACGUGAAAUUGUCAAAAGGGAAGCGUUUGACACCAGUGUUGUUUUCUCGAAAAUCAAUUAAAAAUGGCUUGAUUUUGUGUAAGGCGACCUUAUCAGCGUUUUGCACUCUUUUCUUGUCCUUUUUUAAUGCACUUUUCGUUUAACAAGUCAACAUCAAUUUCUUUUGUUGUAAAAGAGUCAUUGGAAGGUGGCUUUCUUUUCGGAGAAAGUGUUUAUAGCCUUUGGCUUCUGCAAUCGGAGAGAUUGAGGUCUGCAGCGUAGAUCCUUCGGGGUUAGAUGCAUUAGUGCUAAGUUAUAGCCUUUCAUAGACAACUUGUUGACUAUGAUCAGUCAUGUAGCUUACUCGCUGAUGUUAUUU
This 1420-nucleotide unclassified non-coding RNA is filed under the name uncultured Neocallimastigales. RNAcentral's name for it is "partial contains small subunit ribosomal RNA, internal transcribed spacer 1, 5.8S ribosomal RNA, internal transcribed spacer 2, and large subunit ribosomal RNA". The stretch from base 665 to 1420 matches the Rfam family "Eukaryotic large subunit ribosomal RNA", at positions 1 to 634 of the family's 3401-position model. The record is from RNAcentral. Lineage: Eukaryota; Fungi; Neocallimastigomycota; Neocallimastigomycetes; Neocallimastigales.